This 1843-nucleotide long non-coding RNA is filed under the name Solanum tuberosum (potato). Its description in RNAcentral is "long non-coding RNA (STUB_LNC007516)". The record is from RNAcentral. Lineage: Eukaryota; Viridiplantae; Streptophyta; Magnoliopsida; Solanales; Solanaceae.
AUAAUGAGAGCUUUUCGAUCGUUUUCAUUGUAUCCUUUUGUUAUUGCUAGUCCUAUUGCAAUUCCGAUUGGAGUUGUGAGCGAGAAAAAUAAAGCCAUUAUAGUCACAGCACGGGAUUUGAAUUUUGCCUGCAAAUUAAAGUGCCAAAUAAAUGUAUGACAUAAAUUUAUAAAAUCUUCCUACAUUUGGAAUAUAUAACAACUUUAUCAGUUGGCACAUUAAUACAUUAAUUAAUUAUUAUUACCAAUCAAUAAUAAAAUACCAACAGUUUCACAAUUAUUUGCCAAAUAGCGUAGGGCAUAUAUAUAUAACACAUGCAAUCUGAUUAUGAUUAUGGUUAAAAAAUCAAUUUGAUUCACAAUCUGAAUCUAAUCGAUUAAAGAAACUGAUAUUUUAUUUGGCUUGGUUUGGUUAUGUUUGGUUUUAAAUUUUGAAAACCGAUACUAUUUGGUUUGAUUUUGAUUUUACUAAAAACAAAUGACAAAAAUAACCAAAUCGAACCGAGAAAUUAGAUAUAUAAAUUUUAUAAUUAUUUAUAUAUUAUUCAUAAAUAAAAUAAAUUUUUUUUGUUAAAUUUCCCUUUUAAUUAACUUAAGUCUUUAAGUUUAUCAUUUUCUCAAGCCUAACACUUAAUGUUGGCCCAACUAUUACAACCCUAAGUCCAAGCCCAUCAAAAUUCAUUACAAAGUCUUUAUCUAUCCUACCUCACAUAAGAUAAUCAUACUUUCUCUUAAUUGAAUCACUUUGUUUGUGUAAUAAUAACUCUAGUAUUGUUUAAUUGAACCCACAAUAGCUUUUAUGUGAAUUAUUCAUGUACUAGGUGUUUGUGUCUAUUGAGAUAUGUAUUUAUUACUUUCAACCGAAAAAAAUCAGAAAAACCAAAUCAAACCAACAAUAAACAAACCGACAAUAACCAAACUUUCUUAAAAUAAAAUUAUUAAUUAGUUUGAUCUUGUUCUCGAAUAAAAUGUAAUUUAUUAAAGAAAUCAAAGAUAAAGGAGACAAUAGUAAAGAUAUUUUUUUUUAUUUGUGAUUUUUAAAAGAACGUGAAAAAGUAAAAUGUGACAAGAGUAUAACAUAGGUUAUACAGGUCACUAUUCCAAUAAAUAACAAUUAGAAAAGAAACAAAAAGAAAAUGCUUCAUAGUCAAUCGAUUCAAUCCCAUAUUCUAUUUGUACACAUGUAACUAACAAAGUUAUGUUUCAAUGGAAUAUCUUAACUCAAUAAGGUGUAUUAAUUAGAUAUUUUUAUUUUAUAUAUAUAUACUUUUUAAUAUGUAUCUAUAUUCGUCUAUUAGAUAAUAAGUUAAGUAUGUAAAUAUAUAUGUCAUAUCAUUUUAUUUGAUGCAUCAAACUCAAGUGAAAAAUAUUUGAGAUAUUUUAUGUCUUAUUGAGAUGAAUGUAUAUAAUUAAAGGAAAUUAUUUAUUUAUAACUUAACUACCUAGUAAACAUAUGAGAACACACGUGAAUAAAUUUUGAACAAAAAAUAUCUAACUGAAACAUUUUAUUAGGAGUUGAGAUAUUAAAUUGAAACAGGAUUUGGUAUAAUUGUCUAAAUGAAGUAUCUUGAUAAACUUAAGGGGCACGAACAGGCGAUAUGGUGAUGCUUCAUCCACUCAAUUUAUGUGAUAUAGUCCAUUCAAUAAAAAGGGCUUGCCCACCUUUAAUGUAAAAAAAAAUAGAGAAAAUUAAUUACCUGAGCAAUGGAUCCACCAAGUCCCACGCCUUCGAAAAAUUGAUGAAAAGUCAAAGCAACAAAAAGAGUCCUUAUAGUUUUGAGAUUUCCAGAAGCACCCAAAGCUAUUCCAAUUAUGACAGAGUGUACUAUUAUUCCCACUUCCAA